Molecule: unclassified non-coding RNA, 265 nt
Filed under: Glomus sp.
Lineage: Eukaryota; Fungi; Glomeromycota; Glomeromycetes; Glomerales; Glomeraceae
Description: partial contains 5.8S ribosomal RNA and internal transcribed spacer 2
Rfam family: 5.8S ribosomal RNA (bases 1-72)
Source: RNAcentral
GUGAAUCAUCAAAUUUUUGAACGCAAAUUGCACUCUCCGGUUUUCCGGGAGAGUAUGCCUGUUUGCGGGUCAGACUAAAUAAAAUCGACAUAGUUGCUGUUUUCGCGGUGACAUUCGUCGGAAAUUGGAUCAUCUUAUACCUUUGGGUUUUAAGCGGCUUAAAAUUUUCUUUAUGAUUCCACGGAAGUUUCUAAGAUAUUUACUUCUUACACGUUUACGGUAUCGAUCUUUAUUAGACGUGUCCGUUGCAUCGGAUCACGUCCCU